RNAcentral lists this long non-coding RNA (1576 nucleotides) under Canis lupus familiaris (dog). RNAcentral's name for it is "lncRNA (ENSCAFG00845030647.1)". The record is from RNAcentral. Lineage: Eukaryota; Metazoa; Chordata; Mammalia; Carnivora; Canidae.
GAAUUCGUUGCUGGGGAUCUGCUCUUACAUUCCCCUUCCUGCCCCCCCCCAACCCACAGGAAGAACCCGUCGGCCCCCAUCCCCUGCAUACCCCACACAUCCUGUAUGACAGCGGUUCGAAACCUGGGCUUAUGUGUCCGUGGACGUCUCUAAUGCGUCUCCGCGGCCCCGGUUCUGCAUGCGGCGCGCGGGGAGCCCUCCAAAUGAGUGAAUACGGAUGUGGGAGCCUGCACGGUGCCAUCUACGGAACUUACUACGCUCCAAACGCUAAACCUUCCAAUCGUGUAAGGAAUAGAUCGUCAGCUCCAUCAUACCGAAGAAGAAACUGGAACUGAGAGGGAAGACGGCUUAGCCGAGGUCACUCAGCUGGUAAGACGGUGAGCUGAGAUGCGAACUCGGGUCUGGGCCACUUGCAGUUCAGCAGGCUUCCCCAAGCUCCUUCCCCUUCUCCUCCAAACGUGCACCGUCCCGCACCAAGUGUGCAGAGAGGAGGCACUCUGGGCAGCUGAAUCCCUCAACAGCUGGAGCUGGCACCCCGUUGUCCAGAUCCAAGUCAGACACUGCACAAUCCGGACUCCUCUGGCCAGCUGAAGUCCUCCUCUUAGGAGCCUAGGAUCCUGCUGGCUUUGAAAAACUGCUACUCUGCCAAGAGACUGUUGAGGUCAAGUUCGUUCUUUCUUUCUUUUCUUUUCUUUUUUUCUUUUCUUUCUUUCUUUCUUUCUUUCUUUCUUUCUUUCUUUCUUUCUUUUUUUUUCUUUUUCCUUUUUUUUUAGAUUUUUUUUUUUAUUCAUGAGACACACAGAGAGAGAAGCAGAGAUACAGGCAGAGGGAGAAGCAGGAUCCCUGCAGGAGCCCAAUGGGGGACUCGAUCCCGGGACCCCAGGAUCACACCCUGAGCUGAAGGGAGACGCUCAGCCACUGAGCCACCCGGGCGUUCCUGUUGAGGUCAAUUUCUAAACAUGCGUGGGGUAGAGACAGGAAUGAAAGAGACCUAAGUUCUUCAUUUCACCCCAACAGAUUGUCUCAUCGACAGGGAAGGGGUUCUGACCAUCAAGAGUCUACUCCCCCCAACUGAGGGAAAACAGAAAAGAGCUCACAUCUACUAUCUCAACCCAUAAGCUAGGAUAUGCUUUGAGAGGGAGCAUGGUGGGGCGGAGGGGGGUGGGUAGCCUGGGUGGCUCAGUUGGUUGCACAUCCGACUCUUGAUUUAGGCUCAAGUCAUGACCUCAGGGUGGUGAGAUGGAGCCCUGCAUCAGGCUCCAUGCUCAGCAGGGAGUCUGCUUGCGAUUCUCUCCUGCCUCUCCCUAGCUUGCUUGUUUGCUGACAAAAUCUUUAACAAAAAAGGAGGGCAGCUCGGGUGGCUCAGCGGUUUAGCACCGCCAUCAGCCCAAGGCCUGAUCCCGGAGACCCGGGAUCGAGUCCUACAUAGGGCUCGCUGCAUGGAGGCUGCCGCUCUCUAUGUAUCUCUCAUGAAUAAAUAAAUAAAAUCUUAAAAAUAUAAAAAGGAGCCCUGGAAUUAUACCCACUAUGAGGAUUCUCCUUACUUUAUAAAUUAAAAAUGAACCCAGGAAAAAUG